Molecule: ribosomal RNA, 1551 nt
Filed under: Enterobacter hormaechei
Lineage: Bacteria; Pseudomonadati; Pseudomonadota; Gammaproteobacteria; Enterobacterales; Enterobacteriaceae
Description: bacterial SSU rRNA
Rfam family: Bacterial small subunit ribosomal RNA
Source: RNAcentral
AAAUUGAAGAGUUUGAUCAUGGCUCAGAUUGAACGCUGGCGGCAGGCCUAACACAUGCAAGUCGAACGGUAACAGGAAGCAGCUUGCUGCUUUGCUGACGAGUGGCGGACGGGUGAGUAAUGUCUGGGAAACUGCCUGAUGGAGGGGGAUAACUACUGGAAACGGUAGCUAAUACCGCAUAACGUCGCAAGACCAAAGAGGGGGACCUUCGGGCCUCUUGCCAUCGGAUGUGCCCAGAUGGGAUUAGCUAGUAGGUGGGGUAACGGCUCACCUAGGCGACGAUCCCUAGCUGGUCUGAGAGGAUGACCAGCCACACUGGAACUGAGACACGGUCCAGACUCCUACGGGAGGCAGCAGUGGGGAAUAUUGCACAAUGGGCGCAAGCCUGAUGCAGCCAUGCCGCGUGUAUGAAGAAGGCCUUCGGGUUGUAAAGUACUUUCAGCGGGGAGGAAGGCGAUAAGGUUAAUAACCUUGUCGAUUGACGUUACCCGCAGAAGAAGCACCGGCUAACUCCGUGCCAGCAGCCGCGGUAAUACGGAGGGUGCAAGCGUUAAUCGGAAUUACUGGGCGUAAAGCGCACGCAGGCGGUCUGUCAAGUCGGAUGUGAAAUCCCCGGGCUCAACCUGGGAACUGCAUUCGAAACUGGCAGGCUAGAGUCUUGUAGAGGGGGUAGAAUUCCAGGUGUAGCGGUGAAAUGCGUAGAGAUCUGGAGGAAUACCGGUGGCGAAGGCGGCCCCCUGGACAAAGACUGACGCUCAGGUGCGAAAGCGUGGGGAGCAAACAGGAUUAGAUACCCUGGUAGUCCACGCCGUAAACGAUGUCGACUUGGAGGUUGUGCCCUUGAGGCGUGGCUUCCGGAGCUAACGCGUUAAGUCGACCGCCUGGGGAGUACGGCCGCAAGGUUAAAACUCAAAUGAAUUGACGGGGGCCCGCACAAGCGGUGGAGCAUGUGGUUUAAUUCGAUGCAACGCGAAGAACCUUACCUACUCUUGACAUCCAGAGAACUUUCCAGAGAUGGAUUGGUGCCUUCGGGAACUCUGAGACAGGUGCUGCAUGGCUGUCGUCAGCUCGUGUUGUGAAAUGUUGGGUUAAGUCCCGCAACGAGCGCAACCCUUAUCCUUUGUUGCCAGCGGUCCGGCCGGGAACUCAAAGGAGACUGCCAGUGAUAAACUGGAGGAAGGUGGGGAUGACGUCAAGUCAUCAUGGCCCUUACGAGUAGGGCUACACACGUGCUACAAUGGCGCAUACAAAGAGAAGCGACCUCGCGAGAGCAAGCGGACCUCAUAAAGUGCGUCGUAGUCCGGAUUGGAGUCUGCAACUCGACUCCAUGAAGUCGGAAUCGCUAGUAAUCGUGGAUCAGAAUGCCACGGUGAAUACGUUCCCGGGCCUUGUACACACCGCCCGUCACACCAUGGGAGUGGGUUGCAAAAGAAGUAGGUAGCUUAACCUUCGGGAGGGCGCUUACCACUUUGUGAUUCAUGACUGGGGUGAAGUCGUAACAAGGUAACCGUAGGGGAACCUGCGGUUGGAUCACCUCCUUACCUUAAAGAA